AAAGACCCCGUGCACCUUUACUAUUAUUUUAUAUUGAUCAACAUUUUAGAUAUGUAGUAUAAAUGUUAAACCUAUGAUGAGUUGACGCUAGUCAAUAAGGUAUGCUUAGUUAUACAAAAUAUAAUUAAUUGUAGCGUUUAGGAGGUGCAAUUGAAAUAACAUUUAUCUAAAAUAUUUGAACUAACUUUUAAAGUAAAAAAAAGGACAGUGUAAAAAAGAUAGUUUGACUGGGGCGGUUCUCUUCAAAAAAAUAACGAAGAUGCGCAAUGGUAAUUACGGAAUAUUCUAAAAUAUUUAAAAUGUAAUGAUUAAGAUAAUUACUUGACUGUAAGAAUGAAAGACAUAUCAAACAGGGAUGAAAGUCGGCCAUAGUGAUCCAAUAACGCUGGAUGGAUAGGUUAUUGAUUAACGGAUAAAAGGUACGCCGGGGA
RNAcentral lists this ribosomal RNA (431 nucleotides) under Stygamoeba regulata. Its description in RNAcentral is "partial Bacterial large subunit ribosomal RNA". It matches the Rfam family "Bacterial large subunit ribosomal RNA", at positions 2084 to 2474 of the family's 2925-position model. The record is from RNAcentral. Lineage: Eukaryota; Discosea; Stygamoebida.